AUGUACCACGGGUACACUCCGAUUUCUCCGCGCCGCCCGCACCCACCUGGCGACUGCUCGCUACGUUUUGUUAGCC
This 76-nucleotide small RNA is filed under the name Xanthomonas fragariae. Its description in RNAcentral is "sX9 sRNA". It matches the Rfam family "Xanthomonas sRNA sX9". The record is from RNAcentral. Lineage: Bacteria; Pseudomonadati; Pseudomonadota; Gammaproteobacteria; Lysobacterales; Lysobacteraceae.